UGCGAGCGCGGGACCGAGGGGAGGCCGCGACCCUGCUGCCCACCGGCUGGAGAACGUGGGUGUCCCAGAGCAGCAGAAUCACCAGAAAUUCACUUGAUUUUCCAGUGUGGACACUGAGACUACAAGGUAAUGUGCAAUUAGGGCAGAAUUAUCGUAUAUAGCAAGCUGACAGUGCAGAGGAAGUGGCAGAAAACCCCCAGCCCAUGAAAGAAUGUCAGUAGUCAACAGACCUAUCUUGAACUUCACUUUGGAAGAAGUGACGGUUGUCCCAGUGGAGAUGGUUAAUGCUUGAAGUGUUCUUCAAGAGAGCCAUCAACCUCUUUGCAAUAGCGAUGCCUAGUUCCAGAGUUUAAUGUGAACAUGAGCAAUCACAAAAAUGCUGAGUGAAGCUGGGGCUCUUCCCAUCAGGACCCGCUGAGUCAGCAUAGGGCAGGGUAUCAAGCAAGAUAGGAUGUCUGUCAAUUAGGACAAAAA
This 474-nucleotide long non-coding RNA is filed under the name Rattus norvegicus (Norway rat). RNAcentral describes it as "long non-coding RNA NONRATT029720". The record is from RNAcentral. Lineage: Eukaryota; Metazoa; Chordata; Mammalia; Rodentia; Muridae.